GAAAUCUGUACCACAGGAUGCCCAAACCGGACAGUUUGUUUGACCAAUCCUGUGGAGUCAUUCUGGAACCGAUCUUCAGCAGAAUUUGCAGCAUCUGCAUGUGGUAAUGUCUCUGUCAUGCUGGAUGGAUCCAUAGAUAUGCCUUAUAAUCCAUCAAGCACUUUUGCUUCUGUAGAAGUCAAGAAUUUCAACUCCUCCAUCAUGAACAGCUUGAUCGUCUUGCUUGUUACCAAAGAAGGAGACACGCAAACCUGUGAGAGUGAUGCAUCGCUGAAAAAUCUGACAAACGACCUGGACCCUAAAUUGAAAUAUCAGUGCAAAGUUGUUUCACAGGCACAACUUCAGACUUGCAUUGUUCAUUAGUGGUG
Long non-coding RNA from Clupea harengus (Atlantic herring), 368 nucleotides. The record is from Ensembl. Lineage: Eukaryota; Metazoa; Chordata; Actinopteri; Clupeiformes; Clupeidae.